GCUAACAUUGGCGUCUCCCUCUCCCAGGCCCUUUCCAGCCCAGCCCAGCCCCUCCCUGGCUCUCCCCACCUCCCCUGCCCUCUCCCCAGCCCACCCAGCAGAGCAGCCCAGGCUGGCAGUGGCCCUGCAGCAGUGCCCACUUCAGGGGGCUGCAGAGGUCUGGGCACUCGCACCACAGCCCCAGCCCCCUGUGCAGGCACAGCAGCUCCAGGGUGGCAGGGGUGUGUGUGUCAGCUGUCCCAUCAGCCUCCAAGCUGGAACAGACCCCACUGGCACAAGGACACAGAGGAUAGUGGCACUCUGUGUCCCUUGUUCUGGUGUCCAGGAGAGUCCCUACACCCAGGCUGCCUGCUGCCCCCCAKGCCAGCCCCUCUCUCCAGGACAGCACAAGAAUCCCUGCCCUGGGGGCUUUUCAGGCAGCUUCUGCCRCCCCAGGGACACAGCAGCCUGCCCUUAGUUGACCUACAUAGAAACAGAUUUCUCUUUCUCAUUUACUCCUCCUUGCCAGCACACAGUUGCUCCUUUCCUCUUUUCCAGGGACGUCCCUGCUCCCUGGAGAGACUUUCCGCAGGUGGGUGCAUCGGUGCUGGCCUGCUCGGCCAUUCCUGGACCCUCCCCUGUGCUCCCCACGGGGUCCCGAGCUGGCGGUGCUGCUCUGCAGAGCGAGUGGCUGUAGGGCAACAGGGCCACGGGGUGACUUCACACUGGCCGUGGUGGCCAGGAUGGGAAGCAGACCCAGCCAGACAGUCAUCAUUGUACCUGACAACCCCUACCAAGGGGUCUGUGGCCAUGGACGAUUCUCUGAGCAAUCACAGGGCAUUUCAAAUGGCUCAGGCUAGAUCCAGGCCAUGGUUUUUCAUUGAAGGUGACAUGAAAAACUCUCCAGGCUCUCUCCUCUGUGCCCACAGGGUCGACACUGCCUCUCAUGGGAUUGCAGAGCUCUCACUAGCCUGCAUUCAUUGGUUUUGCCCUUUACCUUUGGGUGACUCCACUUCAUUUUGUGAAGCUCCAUAUGCUGCCCACUCCCAAGCACAUGGUGUCCUUGGAAAUGCCCUGUGCUCUCCUGGGGGCUCCAUACCCCCUUUGAGAAGGACAGGCAUUGGUGUCCAGCCCUGA
This 1116-nucleotide long non-coding RNA is filed under the name Apteryx haastii (Great spotted kiwi). Its description in RNAcentral is "lncRNA (ENSAHAG00000009264.1)". Lineage: Eukaryota; Metazoa; Chordata; Aves; Apterygiformes; Apterygidae. The record is from RNAcentral.